CAGUCAUCAUAUCAGUAGACUGAUGGAUUGAGAGAUGAAGGGCGAGAGGUUUGUCCUGGUCCACGCAAGGCAGAUAGGGGAGAUAGUGCUUCUCUUAUGAGAAGGGCGUCGUGAACACAGUUAAGUGGCUCGUCUGUAGCUCCCGGAGGUGAGUACACCUCUACGUAUAUGGGGCGAUGAGGGGUCAAGAAGACUGGCAUAUACCUUAA
Molecule: non-coding RNA, 209 nt
Filed under: Eubacterium sp. CAG:603
Lineage: Bacteria; Bacillati; Bacillota; Clostridia; Eubacteriales; Eubacteriaceae
Description: Clostridiales-3 RNA
Rfam family: Clostridiales-3 RNA
Source: Rfam by way of RNAcentral